Molecule: microRNA precursor, 84 nt
Filed under: Bombyx mori (domestic silkworm)
Lineage: Eukaryota; Metazoa; Arthropoda; Insecta; Lepidoptera; Bombycidae
Description: mir-2807 microRNA precursor family
Rfam family: mir-2807 microRNA precursor family
Source: Rfam by way of RNAcentral
UAAACUCAUAGUUGUAUGGAGUUGGUACGUUUGCUUACGUUUGCCGCUAGGGGCGCUGUUCCAACUGCAUACAAAGUUGAGUUA